CUUAUUUUCUUUGAACUGAUUACUAGUGCCUGAACCCUGUAAUUGAGUGCUUAUGCUGCAAAACACACAGAAACAUCAUGCUCAAAUUUCAAGGACCACUAGCUUUGGCAUCAGGAUAGUCCUGUAGAAAAUACAAAGGGCGUUUUGCUAGAAGAACAUUCCCAUCCACCACAUCACUCUAAAGCACAAUGCAGGCAAAGGAUACUCAGAAGAAAUCUGUACAAUGUGCUAUAUGUAAAUCUCCACAGGUAUUCAGCGAACUACACUCUGCAAAUUUAUGUGACCUACUUUUUCAGAUUGUUUAGUACCUAAUCGUGUCCUUGCUGCCAAUCAAAUGGCAACUGCAAAUAUAAUAUAUGUUCUUGAUCUGGGAAGAAUAGAAUGAUCUAUGGAUAACUUGAAUAAAACUUGGGCAAGGUGCAGGAGAAAAUGACAUGGGUAUGAGUUAGAAAAUAUACAACACAGCUGUAUGAAUGCUUGGCUGGGGAAAAAGUACCGGUCACUCACUUGGUAAGUGGCCAGAAUGAAAUAUGUGGGGUAGAAUGGUGACAUUAAGCAUAACUGUCAUAUACAGAGAUAAAAUUUGGAUCACUUACGUAUGCAUAUGACAAGCAUCUGAAAGUCCAACACCCUUCCUGAUUACCAAGAAGCUCUAAUACAAAACUUCAUACAAACAGUGAUACAGUGAUAUGCUUAAAAAUACCUGUCAGCAAUCAUAAUGGAGGUAUUAAAAGACAUGUAGAUGAGAUGCUUAGGGGCAUGGUUUAGUGGUAGACUUGGCAGUGUUGCAUUAGUGGUUGGACUUGAUGAUCUUAAGGGUCUUUUCCAACCUAAAUGAUUCUAUGAUUCUAUGUAUGACGCACUAACUUUUCUGAGGUAGGUAUGAAAAAGAGGCAAGCAAAGUAUAUUGGAGUUACUUGGUGCAGCUCAGUUUAAGGAGGAAUGCACUCACUUCAGGACCAUUUUUUUUUUUAAACAUUUUUAAUAGUUUAGUACUGAGGAAAAAGGACAUUCUCAUCUAGCACAGAAAAGCCGUAGUGGAUUUUAAACAUGACAAACACGACAAACACAGCAAAGUUACAAACAUUACUAGAAUGAAACAUUUUACCUUCAGUAAGAUCCAAUUUACAGGUACUAAGAAAAAGAGACUGUGAAAUAUUUUUGUGUUCCAAUUGCUAAAUAGCUUGCAGGAGUCAGAAAGCUUGGUUUUGUGGUUGAGGCAGUGGAUACAGUCUGAGAAGAACUGGUUUCAAUUUAUGGUUCCAUGUUGCUCUUGGAGCAAAUCACUCUUAAUACAAAAUGUGGAUAGUAUGUCAUGCCUAUUGGACUAUAAAAGUUUUAAGGCAGGGAAAAUCUCUCACUAGGUGAAGAGUCGGCAUCUACCUCAAAGAAAUAUCUAUCUUGACUGAGAGGCCGAGGUAUCCUUAUAUUAGAAAUACUGAUCAAUAACAAAAACAGAUAUUGCUGUCUCUUCCCAGCCUCCCCUGGUUGCUGGAGCUUAUCUCAGAUGUGAGACUGGGUACACAGAUUUUCUUCUGCACUUAGCUUUGUUGUGGUGCUGGGGGCAGUCAGCUCUUUCUUGUUGAGGGUCAGGAAGGCUGGCAAAGAAGAAAAUGAAUGAAAUGAAAGAGGUGAGGGAAAACAGAAAGGAGGAACUGAUGGAAGAAAAUGAGCUGCCAAAGAUAUUCUGGUGGGCAGAUGGUGAAAAGCAGUUGCUUCAGAAGACCACUGUUGAGACCAGGUAGUGAUGGCUGAACUAAUGCUAUUGAAACAGAAGACAGGCUGCUGGCAAAACAGAGGCAAAGGCACAUGUGAAUUACACGUGCUGUAUGAAAAGCAUUUCCUUGUCCACAUGUUUAUAAGACAGAAACAUGGGCUUUCCAGGUCUUUUUUGCUUAGUGUCAGUAAGGAUCGGUGCUUAUCCCAAGAGAUUUCCACUUUGUAGUCUGGCACUAGCUAGAAUAGAAAGUUCUCAGGGAAUUAGAGAUUGAUGUUUUCACCUCAAAAAUAAACCAAGCAUAGGGGUAAUGAUUAAGGGGAAAAAAACCCCUGAUUAUAUAGUCAAGUAUCCACAGUUCAGAAACAGGGUACAAAGAAUAAGAAACAGCAAGGACGAGAGCGCCAAGUCUUUUUUUCUAGCCAGCACUCAGUGUAAAAACUAACCCUUGCUCUGAAUUAUCUUCUCCUUGUUCCUGUGUUUGAUACUUCAUGCAGUCCCCACCAUCCUACUUUUCUUAUCCUUUCUUUUCAAAAGCCCCUGCGUCCACAACACCGCUGCGCCUUGCUUUAGGACAUAACCUAGCACUUCGGAUGAAGGCUAAUGGUUUCAAUAGACAUAUAUGCUUUUUCUUCAGAAUGGAGAGGGCAUAGGUUAGAGAAUGAGCUGCCCCCUCUUUAUCAGCCUUAUUCUCUUCCUUCUCUAAGGGAUAGUUGGGGUAUAAUGUGGUGGGAAGACAUGUUACAGAUGGAUAAAACAUGGUGAGAAGUUGGUUUUAUCUGCCUCAAAUUAGACAUGGAGAUAGAAAGGACAGCAGUUUCUGGAUAUUAGAAGGAAGGGUUGUUUGGCAAGGGUUUUGAAACUCAGUCAUAUUUUUUUGUUUAACAGCUUACAAGAUCGUGUAUUAUAAGACUGAGUGAGUGUUUAUGAUCUGUGCUGGAAAAGGACUAUGGGAUGAAGGUUGAUGGUGAAAGUGGUUUCAGUUUAUGUCUGAAAAGGCUGGCAGGGAUGAAGAAGGCACUGUUUGGCUUGGCCCUUAAUCCUGGAGAACUGGACACCGACCACCCUACUUCUGCUCCGUGGCUCCUCCUGGGGCAGAACAAUAGUCGCUACCAUUUCACCGUGAGAGUUCAGCACAGAGUAAUUACUGCACUCCCAUGUUUUUGGAGGAACAGAGCAACUUCCUUCAGUUUAUACAAGCGUAUGCAUUUAUUGCUAAGGGAAUCUAGCUUCCCAUUAAGUGACUCUCAACUCAGAUGGCUCCGAUUGUUCUGUCUUAAAGAUGUGAGACGUGCUUUUUUUGUGAAAGCAUGUAGAAAAAGACCUAUACUACCAAAGACAACUUUUCUUGCUUCUUACCCUUUAAAGGCUUUGCAAAAUGUUCCUAUUUAAUAACAGUUAUCUUUAUGUAGUAGUUGAAUCUUUUCAUAAGCUAAUAGUUGUAAAGCACUGUCUACUUUGCUUAAUGAUACUAUUUUCCUAAUAUAAAACAGGGCUAAUGGGUGUCAAAUGUGAAAGCAAUAUUCCUGCAAUUUAUCACUUAAGCCUUCUUUCACUCUUUUGGGGUGAAUUGUUGUAUUUUUAAAGGGAAAUUGAUUGCCUUGAGUGAAUUCUUUUAUUCUUCUACAUUAACAAUUCAUGAAUGAAGCCAAUAGCUGCAACACAAUCUUCAGUUCCUUGUCCCACCAAUAACCUCAGCUGUGUCCUGGAGGGUAAACUCACACUGCAUCAAUCAACAGUCUUCGUGGUCUGCAGCAUAGCCAUGUGAACUGUGGCUUAAACUAUGUUCUCGUUUGCUCCCUUGACUUCUGGCAGUUGGGAACUGCACAAAAAAAAUGAAUUAACUGUUACAAAGUUUCCUGGCAUGCUGUACUUUACAUGAUUGGAAAGUUACUUUACUAGAAAGAACAAAGAAUAUAGACAUUUACUCUGAGGUUUAGAACCAAAUGCCAACAGUCAAAUGAUCCUUGUGCACCUUUCUUCUCUGCUCUGCCCCUCUCCCUGCCAUUGUUAAACGUUGGGCUAGCCCAGUUAAAAAGGUUCUGGGAGACCAAAGAGAUGCCAGUUAAGGGACAUUUAGAACUACUUAUUUAAAAAAACAAAGAGCGCAGAAAACCCAACCCCCAAACAGCACUAUAAAACUGAACGGGGAAAGGCAAGGAGGCCAGCAAUUUAAGCGUCCAUUAAGAUUGCACCUGCAAAUGAGUUCAUUCAUUUCUUUCCAUGAGCAAACCCAGUGUUUCUAUUCCCAAAUGAGAAAUAAACAUACAACGUUGGGCAGGCAGACAUCCAAAUGCCCAGACUUAGUGUAACUCUGUGCCUACAAAACUCAUAUGUAGAAAAUGGAAGCUGUUAAUGUGUACUUCAGCUUAACUUGUAAAGCCAGAGCUGUUGUGGAGGUAAAAUGAUCAAAGUGUGGUGUAAUGGCUGACUUUGAGUCACUGGUAAAACUUAUCUCUGGCAUGUCCCUCUCCUUGCCGCUGCUGGCUCCUCUCUUGAAAGCCACCUGUCUUUAAGCACAUUCUCCUUCUUUACCAGCUUUUUUUUUGGCUCAGUCUCCACAUAAGCAUGUGUAUGCAUGUGCCUUUUGCUGUUGUGGCUCCUCUCCAGCCAAAUUUGUUGUCUCUGUAUGCUGCAACCCAUACCCACACGCCCACAUACAGCUCCUGCACUGGGGAGCUGCUGGUCUGCACACCCAGGCUGUGCUGGAGCAGGCUUCUCCCAGCAGUAACACCUUUGACUUUAUGGACACCUGAGCGCAUUUACAUGUUCGGCAAAGCAUCACAAGCGUCACCUCGUAAGAGGUCACUUCUAAAAUGUGGGGCUGAUUUUCAGCUCAUUUCUACUAGAUCUGUACUAAUUUAAACCUGCCAUUUAGCAUGUGUCUUAAAAAAGAGACACACAUAUGUACAUCCACAAGCUAUUUAUGAUUUUUUCAUAAUAAUUUUCAUUAUUUUUCUGUAUUCCCUUAUAUAUGCUGCUAACUCUUUUCAUCACACCCAUUUCUAGCUCAGUUUCAUCAUGGCACUUGGCAUGGCUGGUUAUACCCUUCUGUACAGCAAAAAAACCCCCAAACUUCUGGUUUACAAAAAAAUAAAGAUAAAAAUCCGAAUGUCUUUAAUUAGGGAAAACAUUGUUUUGGUGACCAAACCCCAGUGAAACUUGGCAAACUGUUACUUUAUUUUCUCAGGAAAACAACAAAUGAAGACGCAUAUAAAUAGUCCACCCUUGUCAUUGAAACUAUAUUUAAGAGGCGCUGCUGUGGCUUCAGUUCUGAAGCGUUUGACCUCCUUAGGAUAGAGCAGAUACAAAAGAUUUUUAUUUGUUUGCAGAUUGUAAGAUAACAAGCAAUGCAUCUGAAAAUACACACCCAAGAUGACUCUUCUUACAAAUGAUCUUGGGAAAUAGGAACGGGUACAAGAAAAGAAAAAAAAAAGAGGCAGAGAAAAGAAUGACAGAGGUGCAGGUUCUACGAAUAAAGAGCUAAGAAAAGACCUGUGGAAAUAAUUGAUUUUUCUGUUCACCACUGACAUUUCUUAAAAAUCCCCGAGUAAUCUGAUGUCUACCUGAACCUAGUAUUAUUUUUUUUUUUUCCAGAAGUAUCCACAAUUGAAACAAAAAUUGCUUGGGGUUAAAUAAAAAUUUUUAAU
This is a non-coding RNA of Phalacrocorax carbo (great cormorant), 5367 nucleotides long. NCBI's taxonomy places the organism in Eukaryota, Metazoa, Chordata, Aves, Suliformes, Phalacrocoracidae. The record is from RefSeq and is a predicted model, not a curated record.